GACGAACGCUGGCGGCGUGCCUAAUACAUGCAAGUAGAACGCACAGUUUAUACCGUAGCUUGCUACACCAUAAACUGUGAGUUGCGAACGGGUGAGUAACGCGUAGGUAACCUGCCUGGUAGCGGGGGAUAACUAUUGGAAACGAUGGCUAAUACCGCAUAAUAUUAAUUAUUGCAUGAUAAUUGAUUGAAAGAUGCAAUUGCAUCACUACCAGAUGGACCUGCGUUGUAUUAGCUAGUAGGUGAGGUAACGGCUCACCUAGGCGACGAUACAUAGCCGACCUGAGAGGGUGAUCGGCCACACUGGGACUGAGACACGGCCCAGACUCCUACGGGAGGCAGCAGUAGGGAAUCUUGGCAAUGGACGAAAGUCUGACCGAGCAACGCCGCGUGAGUGAAGAAGGUUUUCGGAUCGUAAAGCUCUGUUGUAAGAGAAGAACGGGUGUGAGAGUGGAAAGUUCACACUGUGACGGUAGCUUACCAGAAAGGGACGGCUAACUACGUG
Molecule: ribosomal RNA, 504 nt
Filed under: uncultured bacterium
Lineage: Bacteria
Description: partial 16S ribosomal RNA
Rfam family: Bacterial small subunit ribosomal RNA
Source: RNAcentral